RNAcentral lists this long non-coding RNA (502 nucleotides) under Anser brachyrhynchus (Pink-footed goose). Its description in RNAcentral is "lncRNA (ENSABRG00000009061.1)". The record is from RNAcentral. Lineage: Eukaryota; Metazoa; Chordata; Aves; Anseriformes; Anatidae.
AUAUUUCCUAAGGUGACUUAUUUAUUUCCAAGACAACACAAAUCACCUGGUGCCACUGCGAGACAGACAGAGGAAAACAUCCUUCCAGUUUUGUCCAGAAGGAAGCAGCUGGGACAGCAUUGCAAGGAGUCUUCCAAAGUGUGCAAAGUUUUUGAUGAGUUGAGAAAUGAGAAUAACAGAACUACUGAAACCCCACGGCAUCAGAAAUCUAGUGCUUUAAUCUCAUGUGAAAUGAAUACUGUGCCUCUAACUCUUGAAGAGGUAGCUCUGAAGCAUCCAGUGCUGGAAGCUAAAUCAAGAGUUAUGAAUUACACUGCUAAAGAAGAAAUCUCCCAAACUGGAAAAGAAUGUUGAAGCUAGAAAUGGUCUUUUUAAAAUUUCUCUAAAAGCUACAUCAGGUACAGACAAUAUAAAUAUUUAGGAGUCUCAGUAUUGGUGAUCAUCCUGGCCUUUUGCAUGAAGGUAAGAAUUUUUGCUGCUCUUUUAUCUUCCAUUUCUGUAA